CCUACGGGAGGCAGCAGUGGGGAAUAUUGGACAAUGGAGGAAACUCUGACCCAGCAAUGCCGCGUGAAUGAAGAAGGUCUUCGGGUUGUAAAGUUCUUUAGUCAGGGAAGAAGUCAAUGACGGUACCUGACUACUAAGCUCCGGCUAACUACGUGCCAGCAGCCGCGGUAAUACGUAGGGAGCAAGCGUUGUUCGGAAUGACUGGGCGUAAAGGGUGAGUAGGCGGUUGUACAAGUUAGAAGUGAAAUACCCAGGGCUUAACUUGGGGGCUGCUUCUAAAACUGUAUGACUUGAGUGCAGUAGAGGGGAGUGGAAUUCCUAGUGUAGCGGUGGAAUGCGUAGAUAUUAGGAGGAACACCAGAGGCGAAGGCGGCUAACUGGACUGGAACUGACGCUGAGGCACGAAAGUGUGGGGAGCAAACAGGAUUAGAUACCCUGGUAGUC
This 444-nucleotide ribosomal RNA is filed under the name uncultured bacterium. RNAcentral's name for it is "partial 16S ribosomal RNA". It matches the Rfam family "Bacterial small subunit ribosomal RNA", at positions 338 to 795 of the family's 1533-position model. The record is from RNAcentral.